GAUGAACGCUGGCGGCGUGCCUAAUACAUGCAAGUCGAGCGAACAGACGAGGAUCUUGCUCCGCUGACGUUAGCGGCGGACGGGAGAGUAACACGUGGAUAACCUACCUAUAAGACGGGUAUAACUUCGGGAAAGCGGAGCUAAUACCGUAGAAGAUCUUGAACCGCAUGGUGCAAUAGUGAAAGACGGUUGUGCUGUCACGUAUCGAUGGAUCCGCGCCGCAUGAGCUAGUUGUUAAGGUAACGGGCUACCAAGGCAACGAUGCGUGGCCGACCGGAGAGAGUGAUAGCCCACCUGGGAGCGUGACCACGCUCCAUACGACUGAGGGACGCACCAGUCGGGAACGGUCGGCAGAGGGCGAAAGUUUGGCGGAGUGGGGCCGAGUGAGUGGUGAAAGCCCUGGGAUCGUAAAACCCUCUUAUUAGGGAAGAACCAAUUUCGCAGUAACUGUACCCGUCUUGACGGUAACUAAUCAGAAAGCCACGGCUAACUACGUG
Molecule: ribosomal RNA, 497 nt
Filed under: uncultured bacterium
Lineage: Bacteria
Description: partial 16S ribosomal RNA
Rfam family: Bacterial small subunit ribosomal RNA
Source: RNAcentral